UAGGGACUUUAUUUUUGUAUAAUGCUCUGGGAAAGUUUUUGAGACUUUUGCACAGUAUGAAUACUUAAAUUGUUAUUAUAAUCAUUGCUUUGCAAUUUUAAAGUUGUAAUAAUUGCAAUUUAAAAGUGAUAGCAUAUAUAGGAUGAUCCAGUUCCCCUUUGGC
Long non-coding RNA from Thalassophryne amazonica, 163 nucleotides. RefSeq lists it as uncharacterized. NCBI's taxonomy places the organism in Eukaryota, Metazoa, Chordata, Actinopteri, Batrachoidiformes, Batrachoididae. The record is from RefSeq and is a predicted model, not a curated record. The transcript is spliced from 3 exons.